AGACGUGCAGACCACAAGACACUGCCUCCACUUACUUCAAAUGUGUCUGGAUGUGUGGACUACCGUAAGGGACCUCAUGAAUAGCGACAGCAACACCAAUGAAGAUGCUGCCUCUGAAGCCCCGAAUGUAACUGCAUAAGCCCAUGGAUCAGUAUCAGUAUCAGUAUCACCCUUCAUUCACUCCGGACACAGCACAGCAGGACUCCUCCUACACACACAAACUAUACACAUUUUGACCUAAACCUAAAACACAACCAAUGUUGCAAGAACUGAAGAACUCUUCAGGUUCCAAUGCAAGUCAUUUGAGAGUACAAAGAACAGAACACAUAACUGAUGGAAUUAAACCUAAAGAACAGGACGAUCAGGACAUAUCAACCAAGGGACAACAAUUGUCAGCUCACUUCUCAGUAUGAUU
Drosophila guanche is the source of this 415-nucleotide long non-coding RNA. RefSeq lists it as uncharacterized. The transcript is spliced from 3 exons. Lineage: Eukaryota; Metazoa; Arthropoda; Insecta; Diptera; Drosophilidae. The record is from RefSeq and is a predicted model, not a curated record.